This 409-nucleotide ribosomal RNA is filed under the name uncultured bacterium. Its description in RNAcentral is "bacterial SSU rRNA". It matches the Rfam family "Bacterial small subunit ribosomal RNA", at positions 505 to 916 of the family's 1533-position model. The record is from RNAcentral.
GUGUCAGCAGCCGCGGUAAUACGUAGGUGGCAAGCGUUGUCCGGAUUUAUUGGGUUUAAAGGGUGCGUAGGCGGCCCUGUAAGUCAGUGCUGAAAUAUCCCAGCUUAACUGGGAGGGUGGCAUUGAUACUGCGGGGCUAGAGUACAGAUGAGGUAGGCGGAAUUGACGGUGUAGCGGUGAAAUGCUUAGAUAUCGUCAAGAACACCUAUAGCGAAGGCAGCUUACUAGGCUGUAACUGACGCUGAGGCACGAAAGUGUGGGGAUCAAACAGGAUUAGAUACCCUGGUAGUCCACACUGUAAACGUUGAUUACUCGCUGUGUGCGAUAUACAGUACGCGGCCAAGCGAAAGCGCUAAGUAAUCCACCUGGGGAGUACGCCGGCAACGGUGAAACUCAAAGGAAUUGACGG